RNAcentral lists this ribosomal RNA (440 nucleotides) under uncultured bacterium. RNAcentral's name for it is "bacterial SSU rRNA". It matches the Rfam family "Bacterial small subunit ribosomal RNA", at positions 467 to 905 of the family's 1533-position model. The record is from RNAcentral.
AAAUGACGGUACCUGACUAAGAAGCUCCGGCUAAAUACGUGCCAGCAGCCGCGGUAAUACGUAUGGAGCAAGCGUUAUCCGGAUUUACUGGGUGUAAAGGGAGUGUAGGUGGCCAGGCAAGUCAGAAGUGAAAGCCCGGGGCUCAACCCCGGGACUGCUUUUGAAACUGCAGGGCUAGGGUGCAGGAGGGGCAAGUGGAAUUCCUAGUGUAGCGGUGAAAUGCGUAGAUAUUAGGAGGAACACCAGUGGCGAAGGCGGCUUGCUGGACUGUAACUGACACUGAGGCUCGAAAGCGUGGGGAGCAAACAGGAUUAGAUACCCUGGUAGUCCACGCCGUAGACGAUGAAUACUAGGUGUCGGGGCACAUAAGUGCUCCGGUGCCGCAGCAAACGCAAUAAGUAUUCCACCUGGGGAGUACGUUCGCAAGAAUGAAACUCAAA